Gracilinanus agilis (Agile Gracile Mouse Opossum) is the source of this 103-nucleotide small nuclear RNA. The record is from RefSeq and is a predicted model, not a curated record. NCBI's taxonomy places the organism in Eukaryota, Metazoa, Chordata, Mammalia, Didelphimorphia, Didelphidae.
GUGCUCAAUUCAGCAGCAAAUAUUCUAAAAAUUGAAUGAUACAAAGAUUAACAUGGCACUUGUGAAGGAUAACAUGAAAAUUCAUGAGUUAUCACACAUGUUU